RNAcentral lists this transfer RNA (76 nucleotides) under Francisella tularensis subsp. tularensis SCHU S4. RNAcentral describes it as "tRNA-Ala". It matches the Rfam family "tRNA". From Rfam's summary of the family: Transfer RNA (tRNA) molecules are approximately 80 nucleotides in length. Their secondary structure includes four short double-helical elements and three loops (D, anti-codon, and T loops). The record is from RNAcentral. RNAcentral also lists the same sequence under 1 other name. Lineage: Bacteria; Pseudomonadati; Pseudomonadota; Gammaproteobacteria; Thiotrichales; Francisellaceae.
UGGGGCCAUAGCUCAGCUGGGAGAGCACCUGCUUUGCACGCAGGGGGUCAGCGGUUCGAUCCCGCUUGGCUCCACC